Small nuclear RNA from Artibeus jamaicensis (Jamaican fruit-eating bat), 196 nucleotides. RefSeq annotates it as U2 spliceosomal RNA. The record is from RefSeq and is a predicted model, not a curated record. Lineage: Eukaryota; Metazoa; Chordata; Mammalia; Chiroptera; Phyllostomidae. The transcript has a single exon.
AUCGCUUCUCGGCCUUUUGGCUAAGAUCAAGUGUAGUAUCUGUUCUUAUCAGUUUAAAAAUCACAUGUCCCUGGGAAAUUCUCAUUCGUUACAUGGAAAAAGCACUUUAUAAAACUAUACAUAGUAUGGUCUAUUUAUAGAUGUGUGUACACACAUAUUUCAGAAAUAAAUAUAGAAGACUGGAAAAAUACCCUCA